RNAcentral lists this transfer RNA (62 nucleotides) under Haementeria acuecueyetzin. RNAcentral's name for it is "tRNA-Asp". Lineage: Eukaryota; Metazoa; Annelida; Clitellata; Rhynchobdellida; Glossiphoniidae. The record is from RNAcentral.
GAGACUUUAGUUAAAUAUAUAAUGACAGACUGUCAGCCUGUAGUAGCAUAAUGCAAGUCUUU